This 254-nucleotide ribosomal RNA is filed under the name uncultured bacterium. RNAcentral's name for it is "partial 16S ribosomal RNA". It matches the Rfam family "Bacterial small subunit ribosomal RNA", at positions 79 to 334 of the family's 1533-position model. The record is from RNAcentral.
CUUUCUUUGCUGGCGACCGGCGCACGGGUGAGUAACACGUAUCCAACCUGCCCUUUACUCGGGGAUAGCCUUUCGAAAGAAAGAUUAAUACCCGAUGGCAUAAUGAUUCCGCAUGGUUUCAUUAUUAAAGGAUUCCGGUAAAGGAUGGGGAUGCGUUCCAUUAGGUUGUUGGUGAGGUAACGGCCCACCAAGCCUUCGAUGGAUAGGGGUUCUGAGAGGAAGGUCCCCCCCAUUGGAACUGAGACACGGUCCAA